This is a long non-coding RNA of Melitaea cinxia (Glanville fritillary), 177 nucleotides long. RefSeq lists it as uncharacterized. The transcript has 3 exons. Lineage: Eukaryota; Metazoa; Arthropoda; Insecta; Lepidoptera; Nymphalidae. The record is from RefSeq and is a predicted model, not a curated record.
UUUUACUUGACGCUACUUUCGGAAACUCGAAAAUCCCAAAAUGUUUUACACAUUUAGGAAAAUAUUAUCUAAGUAUAUAUGAAACUGGAAAAAUUUAUUUCGGUUAAAAUUAACAAAUCUAAAAAAAAAAUAAGUUAAAACAUGAAGUGUCGUGAAAUAAUUGUGUUUGUAGGCAAA